Molecule: unclassified non-coding RNA, 376 nt
Filed under: uncultured bacterium
Lineage: Bacteria
Description: contains 16S-23S intergenic spacer region
Source: RNAcentral
UCCGCUUUACAGCGGCAGUCUCGCUAGAGUCCUCGACAUUACUCGUUAGCAACUAGCGACAGGGGUUGCGCUCGUUAAUGGACUUAACCAAACACUUCACAGCACGAGCUGACGACAGCCAUGCAGCACCUGUGUUCAGGCUCCCUUUCGGGCACACCCGCCUCUCGGCGGGCUUCCUGACAUGUCAAGGGUAGGUAAGGUUCUUCGCGUUGCAUCGAAUUGAACCACAUGCUCCACCGCUUGUGCGGGCCCCCGUCAAUUCCUUUGAGUUUCACCGUUGCCGGCGUACUCCCCAGGUGGAUUACUUAUCGCUUUCGCUUGGCCGCGUACUGUAUAUCGCACACAGCGAGUAAUCAACGUUUACAGUGUGGACUAC